This 203-nucleotide long non-coding RNA is filed under the name Lathyrus oleraceus (garden pea). RNAcentral's name for it is "Pisum sativum (pea) long non-coding RNA (PSAT_LNC035967)". Lineage: Eukaryota; Viridiplantae; Streptophyta; Magnoliopsida; Fabales; Fabaceae. The record is from RNAcentral.
AAGAAGAAAAGAAAAAAAACGGGAGAAAAGACCAUCCAUAGGAAUAAUACACUUCCUAGGAAACAGAGACUCUGACGGGACUCUCAUGGGGAUAAGAAAAGAAAUGCGUGAGCAGGACACGACUAUGAAUUAGGGAAAAAAGAAUUUGACACUGCGUGAGCAGGACACGACUGGACUGGAGACCACACUGGGGAGGAAAGAGU